Amphimedon queenslandica is the source of this 331-nucleotide long non-coding RNA. RefSeq lists it as uncharacterized. The transcript is spliced from 2 exons. Lineage: Eukaryota; Metazoa; Porifera; Demospongiae; Haplosclerida; Niphatidae. The record is from RefSeq and is a predicted model, not a curated record.
GAAUUUAGAUUUAGAUUUUUUUUUCAUUUUCUUUUGUUUUAUCCCUACUCACUUUUGUGCUCUGCUCUCUCUUUAUUCCCAUUACUUUGGUUCAUCAUUUUCCCAAUUUGGCAAUUUCCCUCCGAUUUGGAUUCGAAACUGCGCAUGCGUAGAAAACCCAGCGUAACCAAUCAAUACGGAAAGAUGCAUAAUAGAUUACGGAUACAACAUGGAGGAAAGUGGGUCAGAAAAGUCAACCAGAGAAAAGAAAGACAUAUCCUUUGAAGAUGCUGACAUUCCUUUUGAAGAAGAAAUACUACGUCAUCCUUACAGUGUAAAGUGCUGGAUAAAG